This 72-nucleotide transfer RNA is filed under the name Caudoviricetes sp. RNAcentral's name for it is "tRNA-Trp". It matches the Rfam family "tRNA". From Rfam's summary of the family: Transfer RNA (tRNA) molecules are approximately 80 nucleotides in length. Their secondary structure includes four short double-helical elements and three loops (D, anti-codon, and T loops). Lineage: Duplodnaviria; Heunggongvirae; Uroviricota; Caudoviricetes. The record is from RNAcentral.
AUUCCCGUAGCUCAAGUGAGGAGCAGCGGUCUCCAAAACCGCAGGCUGUAGGUUUAAGUCCUGCCGGGAAUG